UACCAACCCUCCGAGUGGUAGGGAUGAUUAUUUGGCUUAAAGCGUCCGUAGCUGGCUUGAAAAAUCCUCCGUUAAAUCCAGCGUCUAAGCGUUGGAAAGCGGAAGAUACUAUCAAGCUAGGAGGCGGAAGAGGCCGACGGUAUUUCUAGGGGAGGGGUGAAAUCCUAUAAUCCUAGGAGGACCACCAGUGGCGAAGGCGGUCGGCCAGAACGCACUCGACGGUGAGGGACGAAAGCUGGGGGAGCGAACCGGAUUAGAUACCCGGGUAGUCCCAGCAGUAAACUAUGCAGGCUAGGUGUUGGGGCGGCUACGAGCCGCUUCGGUGCCGCAGGUAAACCGUUAAGCUUGCCGCCUGGGGAGUACGACCGCAAGGUUGAAACUUAAAGGAAUUGGCGGGGGAGCACUACAAGGGGUGAAGGCUGCGGUUU
This 428-nucleotide ribosomal RNA is filed under the name uncultured archaeon. RNAcentral's name for it is "bacterial SSU rRNA". It matches the Rfam family "Archaeal small subunit ribosomal RNA", at positions 474 to 903 of the family's 1478-position model. The record is from RNAcentral.